RNAcentral lists this ribosomal RNA (457 nucleotides) under uncultured bacterium. RNAcentral's name for it is "partial 16S ribosomal RNA". It matches the Rfam family "Bacterial small subunit ribosomal RNA", at positions 28 to 523 of the family's 1533-position model. The record is from RNAcentral.
GAUGAACGCUGGCGGCGUGCCUAAUACAUGCAAGUCGAGCGGUAAGGCCUCUUCGGAGGUACACGAGCGGCGGACGGCUGAGUAACGCGUAGGAACGUACCCCAAACUGAGGGAUAAGCACCAGAAAUGGUGUCUAAUACCGCAUGUGCUCUAAGGAGUAAAGCUUCGGCGGUUUGGGAACGGCCUGCGUACGAUUAGAUUGUUGGUGAGGUAAUGGCUCACCAAGUCGACGAUCGUUAGCUGGUCUGAGAGGAUGAUCAGCCAGACUGGGACUGAGAACGGCCCAGACUCCUACGGGAGGCAGCAGUAGGGAAUUUUCCACAAUGGGCGAAAGCCUGAUGGAGCAACGCCGCGUGCAGGAUGAAUGCCUCGGGUUGUAAACUGCUUUUAUCUGUGACGAAAAUGACAGUACCGGGAGAAUAAGCUCCGGCUAACUCCGUGCCAGCAGCCGCCGUAA